RNAcentral lists this ribosomal RNA (553 nucleotides) under uncultured bacterium. RNAcentral describes it as "bacterial SSU rRNA". It matches the Rfam family "Bacterial small subunit ribosomal RNA", at positions 355 to 897 of the family's 1533-position model. The record is from RNAcentral.
UAGGGAAUCUUCGGCAAUGGGGGGAACCCUGACCGAGCAACGCCGCGUGAGUGAAGAAGGUUUUCGGAUCGUAAAGCUCUGUUGUUAAGGAAGAACGAGUGUGAGAAUGGAAAGUUCAUACUGUGACGGUACUUAACCAGAAAGGGACGGCUAACUACGUGCCAGCAGCCGCGGUAAUACGUAGGUCCCGAGCGUUGUCCGGAUUUAUUGGGCGUAAAGCGAGCGCAGGCGGUUAGAUAAGUCUGAAGUUAAAGGCAGUGGCUCAACCAUUGUAGGCUUUGGAAACUGUUUAACUUGAGUGCAGAAGGGGAGAGUGGAAUUCCAUGUGUAGCGGUGAAAUGCGUAGAUAUAUGGAGGAACACCGGUGGCGAAAGCGGCUCUCUGGUCUGUAACUGACGCUGAGGCUCGAAAGCGUGGGGAGCGAACAGGAUUAGAUACCCUGGUAGUCCACGCCGUAAACGAUGAGUGCUAGGUGUUAGGUCCUUUCCGGGACUUUAGUGCCGCAGCUAAACGCAUUAAGCACUCCGCCUGGGGAGUACGACCGCAAGGUUGA